Drosophila melanogaster (fruit fly) is the source of this 210-nucleotide small nucleolar RNA. Lineage: Eukaryota; Metazoa; Arthropoda; Insecta; Diptera; Drosophilidae. The record is from Ensembl.
AAGACUAUACUUCACAGGAUCAUUUCUGUAGUCAGUCUUCACAUACUUUCACACUAGCUGAAAGCCAAGUGCACCCGCGUUGAUGAGUUGAAUCGUUCUAUUCGGCAGCGUGAGGAUUUGCCCAGUGUUCUUUGUGGUGCCUCGCAUCGUUCGGGACGCAGGGCUUCGAUGAUCGCUCGGUAGAAACGGAUAGAGCGAAUUCUGAGUGGU